Molecule: ribosomal RNA, 687 nt
Filed under: Bacillus licheniformis
Lineage: Bacteria; Bacillati; Bacillota; Bacilli; Caryophanales; Bacillaceae
Description: bacterial SSU rRNA
Rfam family: Bacterial small subunit ribosomal RNA
Source: RNAcentral
CCCCGCGCUCAACCCGGGGAGGGUCAUUUGGAAACUGGGGAACUUGAGUGCAGAAGAGGGGGAGGGGGAAUUUCCACGUGUACGCGGUGAAAUGCGUAGAGAUGUGGAGGAACACCAGUGGCGAAGGGCGACUCUCUGGUCUGUAACUGACGCUGAGGCGGCGAAAGCGUGGGGAGCGAACAGGAUUAGAUACCCUGGUAGUCCACGCCGUAAACGAUGAGUGCUAAGUGUUAGAGGGUUUCCGCCCUUUAGUGCUGCAGCAAACGCAUUAAGCACUCCCCCUGGGGAGUACGGUCGCAAGACUGAAACUCAAAGGAAUUGACGGGGGCCCGCCCAAGCGGUGGAGCAUGUGGUUUAAUUCGAAGCAACGCGAAGAACCUUACCAGGUCUUGACAUCCUUUGACAACCCUAGAGAUAGGGCUUCCCCUUCGGGGGCAGAGUGACAGGUGGUGCAUGGUUGUUGUCAGCUCGUGUCGUGAGAUGUUGGGUUAAGUCCCGCAACGAGCGCAACCCUUGAUCUUAGUUGCCAGCAUUCAGUUGGGCACUCUAAGGUGACUGCCGGUGACAAACCGGAGGAAGGUGGGGAUGACGUCAAAUCAUCAUGCCCCUUAUGACCUGGGCUACCCACUUGCUUCAAUGGGCAGAACAAAGGGCAGCGAAGCCGCGAGGCUAAGCCAAUCCCCCAAA